GCUUACGACCACACCGGCCUGAGUACGCCUGAUCUCGUCUGAUCUCGGAAGCUAAGUAGGGUCGGGCCUGGUUAGUACUUGGAUGGGUGACCUCCUGGGAAUACCAGGUGCUGUAAGCU
RNAcentral lists this ribosomal RNA (119 nucleotides) under Oncorhynchus kisutch (coho salmon). The record is from RNAcentral. Lineage: Eukaryota; Metazoa; Chordata; Actinopteri; Salmoniformes; Salmonidae.